CCUACGGGGAGCAGCAGUCGAGAAUCAUUCACAAUGGGGGAAACCCUGAUGGUGCGACGCCGCGUGGGGGAAUGAAGGUCUUCGGAUUGUAAACCCCUGUCAUGUGGGAGCAAAUUAAAAAGAUAGUACCACAAGAGGAAUAGCCGGCUAACUCUGUGCCAGCAGCCGCGGUAAUACAGAGGUCCCAAGCGUUGUUCGGAAGCACUGGGCGUAAAGCGUGCGUAGGCUGUUUCGUAAGUCGGGUGUGAAAGGCGCGGGCUCAACCCGCGGACGGCAACUGAUACUGCGUGACUAGAGUUAGGGAGAGGGAACCGGAAUUCGCGGUGUAGCAGUGAAAUGCGUAGAUAUCGAGAGGAACACUCGUGGCGAAGGCGGGUUCCUGGACAUUAACUGACGCUGAUGCACGGAGGCCAGGGGAGCGAAAGGGAUUAGAUACCCGAGUAGUC
This 446-nucleotide ribosomal RNA is filed under the name uncultured bacterium. Its description in RNAcentral is "partial 16S ribosomal RNA". It matches the Rfam family "Bacterial small subunit ribosomal RNA", at positions 338 to 795 of the family's 1533-position model. The record is from RNAcentral.